GAUGAACGCUGGCGGCGUGCCUAAUACAUGCCAGUCGAGCGAACGGACGAGAAGCUUGCUUCUCUGAUGUUAGCGGCGGACGGGUGAGUAACACGUGGAUAACCCACCUAUAAGACUGGGAUAACUUCGGGAAACCGUAGCUAAUACCGGAUAAUAUUUUGAACCGCAUGGUUCAAAAGUGAAAGACGGUCUUGCUGUCACUUAUAGAUGGAUCCGCGCUGCAUUAGCUAGUUGGUAAGGUAACGGCUUACCAAGGCAACGAUGCAUAGCCGACCUGAGAGGGUGAUCGGCCACACUGGAACUGAGACACGGUCCAGACUCCUACGGGAGGCAGCAGUAGGGAAUCUUCCGCAAUGGGCGAAAGCCUGACGGAGCAACGCCGCGUGAGUGAUGAAGGUCUUCGGAUCGUAAAACUCUGUUAUUAGGGAAGAACAUAUGUGUAAGUAACUGUGCACAUCUUGACGGUACCUAAUCAGAAAGCCACGGCUAACUACGUG
Molecule: ribosomal RNA, 497 nt
Filed under: uncultured bacterium
Lineage: Bacteria
Description: partial 16S ribosomal RNA
Rfam family: Bacterial small subunit ribosomal RNA
Source: RNAcentral